RNAcentral lists this ribosomal RNA (450 nucleotides) under uncultured bacterium. RNAcentral describes it as "partial 16S ribosomal RNA". It matches the Rfam family "Bacterial small subunit ribosomal RNA", at positions 354 to 796 of the family's 1533-position model. The record is from RNAcentral.
GUGGGGAAUACUGGACAAUGGGCGCAAGCCUGAUCCAGCAAUGCCGCGUGGGUGAAGAAGGCCUUCGGGUUGUAAAGCCCUUUUGUACGGAAAGAAAUCCUGGUGGUUAAUACCCGCCGGGGAUGACGGUACCGUAAGAAUAAGCACCGGCUAACUUCGUGCCAGCAGCCGCGGUAAUACGAAGGGUGCAAGCGUUAAUCGGAAUUACUGGGCGUAAAACGUGCGUAGGUGGUUUCUUAAGUCUGUCGUGAAAGCCCUGGGCUCAACCUGGGAAUGGCGAUGGAUACUGGGAGGCUAGAGUGCGGUAGAGGAUGGCGGAAUUCCCGGUGUAGCGGUGAAAUGCGUAGAGAUCGGGAGGAACAUCUGUGGCGAAGGCGGCCAUCUGGACCAGCACUCACACUGAGGCACGAAAGCGUGGGGAGCAAACAGGAUUAGAAACCCUAGUAGUCC